UUGCUUUUUAGACAGUACAGUAGAAUGAAGCUUUCAAUAUCUCAUUUUAAUGGUUGUGUUUAUAACUUGAUUUGUUAUUUGAUGUUUUGUAUAAUUUAUUUGUUUAUCUUAUUUUAUUAUUUGUUGUGUGGUUUUAAUUCUUUGUAAAUCCUUUAUAGUUACCCUAUCAAUCUUGAUAAAUGCAAUAAUAUAUGCAUGGGUAAAAGAAUAAUAACCAAAAAUUAAAAAUUUGAAUGAAGUUCGCCAAAGCUGAUAAAAAUGUAGGCCUUUCAUGUCCACAUAUUUUGAAUAAUUACAAUUUAAUCCUUAU
This 310-nucleotide long non-coding RNA is filed under the name Manihot esculenta (cassava). RNAcentral describes it as "long non-coding RNA (MESC_LNC008492)". Lineage: Eukaryota; Viridiplantae; Streptophyta; Magnoliopsida; Malpighiales; Euphorbiaceae. The record is from RNAcentral.